Molecule: ribosomal RNA, 305 nt
Filed under: uncultured bacterium
Lineage: Bacteria
Description: partial 16S ribosomal RNA
Rfam family: Bacterial small subunit ribosomal RNA
Source: RNAcentral
ACAGCAGUCGCCGCGGUAAAACGAGGGGGGCAAGCGUUGUUCGGAAUUAUUGGGCGUAAAGGGUGCGUAGGCGGCUUGAUAAGUCUUGUGUGAAAUCUCUGGGCUCAACCCAGAGUCUGCACAGGAAACUGUCGGGCUUGAGUAUUGGAGAGGUGAGUGGAAUUUCCGGUGUAGCGGUGAAAUGCAUAGAUAUCGGAAGGAACACCUGUGGCGAAAGCGGCUCACUGGACAAUUACUGACGCUGAUGCACGAAAGCUAGGGGAGCAAACAGGAUUAGAUACCCGCGUAGUCCCUGUCUCUUAUAC